This 564-nucleotide long non-coding RNA is filed under the name Gadus morhua (Atlantic cod). RNAcentral describes it as "lncRNA (ENSGMOG00000030433.1)". Lineage: Eukaryota; Metazoa; Chordata; Actinopteri; Gadiformes; Gadidae. The record is from RNAcentral.
AACAUGAACCUAACCUUAACCUAGCCUCAGGUUAUGGGUAGGCUAACCCUGACCUGAGCUGAACCUCACUGACCCUGUGACCUGUGACCCUGUGACCUCUGACCUGUGUUCCAGUAUGGAGCCGACGCCCUGGGAUCUGGAUCUGAGGACCAGGAGGUCUCGGAGCUGCUCAGGGGCCCCCCCGGUCCGCCCGGUCCACCCGGACCCCCUGGACAAGAUCCCCUGAACCGCGGCUCCGCCCCGGGCCCUGGAUCCCCUGGACCCCCUGGGGGGCGCGGCCAGGCAGGACCGCCAGGGACCCCAGGCCUCCCAGGAAGAGAUGGGGUAGCAGGUCUUCCUGCAGGUGUGGGAGAGAAGGGUGAGUCAGGACUCCCCGGGCCAGCAGGACCAAAGGGGGAGUGUGGAGCUGUGGGCGUGUCCGGCCCCCCCGGGGUCAGGGGCCCCCAUGGACCCAGCGGGCCCGCCGGCCGCCCUGGACCCCCAGGACCCCCCGGAGGCCCAGGGAGCAGGUUCUUCUUGGAGGUGGAGAUGGUUCCUCUAGACCAGAGUCAUUCAACAGGUUGA